UACGUAGGGUGCAAGCGUUGUCCGGAAUUAUUGGGCGUAAAGAGCUCGUAGGCGGUUUGUCGCGUCUGCCGUGAAAGUCCGGGGCUCAACUCCGGAUCUGCGGUGGGUACGGGCAGACUAGAGUGAUGUAGGGGAGACUGGAAUUCCUGGUGUAGCGGUGAAAUGCGCAGAUAUCAGAAGGAACACCGAUGGCGAAGGCAGGUCUCUGGGCAUUAACUGACGCUGAGGAGCGAAAGCAUGGGGAGCGAACAGG
RNAcentral lists this ribosomal RNA (253 nucleotides) under uncultured bacterium. RNAcentral's name for it is "partial 16S ribosomal RNA". It matches the Rfam family "Bacterial small subunit ribosomal RNA", at positions 524 to 776 of the family's 1533-position model. The record is from RNAcentral.